RNAcentral lists this ribosomal RNA (434 nucleotides) under uncultured Blautia sp. Its description in RNAcentral is "partial 16S ribosomal RNA". It matches the Rfam family "Bacterial small subunit ribosomal RNA", at positions 341 to 792 of the family's 1533-position model. The record is from RNAcentral. Lineage: Bacteria; Bacillati; Bacillota; Clostridia; Lachnospirales; Lachnospiraceae.
ACGGGAGGCGGCAGUGGGGAAUAUUGCACAAUGGGGGAAACCCUGAUGCAGCGACGCCGCGUGAAGGAAGAAGUAUCUCGGUAUGUAAACUUCUAUCAGCAGGGAAGAUAAUGACGGUACCUGACUAAGAAGCCCCGGCUAACUACGUGCCAGCAGCCGCGGUAAUACGUAGGGGGCAAGCGUUAUCCGGAUUUACUGGGUGUAAAGGGAGCGUAGACGGAACGGCAAGUCUGAUGUGAAAGGCAGGGGCUCAACUCCUGGACUGCAUUGGAAACUGUUAGUCUUGAGUGUCGGAGAGGUAAGCGGAAUUCCUAGUGUAGCGGUGAAAUGCGUAGAUAUUAGGAGGAACACCAGUGGCGAAGGCGGCUUACUGGACGAUAACUGACGUUGAGGCUCGAAAGCGUGGGGAGCAAACAGGAUUAGAUACCCUGGUA